CGUUAAAACUUGUUUCCUCAAUAUUUUUAAACACGUGGCAGUCUUACAUUGGUCCAGAUUAGCCCACCCAGUCAAUUGUUUAAACCCGCCCGACCCAAUAGACUGGGUGUACAAGGGCAAAUCAAAACCCCAACACUCCCGUCAGAUGGCAGCUCAGACAUUGCAGCUCCGACUACUGGGCAACACCGGCCUCAACCUUAG
RNAcentral lists this long non-coding RNA (201 nucleotides) under Nicotiana benthamiana. RNAcentral describes it as "long non-coding RNA (NBEN_LNC030832)". Lineage: Eukaryota; Viridiplantae; Streptophyta; Magnoliopsida; Solanales; Solanaceae. The record is from RNAcentral.